GAGCUCACUUCGGCAACACAUAUACUAAAAUUGGAACAAUAGAGAGAAGAUGAGCAUGGCCUCUGCACAAGGAUGACGCACAAAUUUGUGAAGUGUUCCAUAUUUUU
This 107-nucleotide small nuclear RNA is filed under the name Salvator merianae (Argentine black and white tegu). Lineage: Eukaryota; Metazoa; Chordata; Lepidosauria; Squamata; Teiidae. The record is from RNAcentral.